This 3321-nucleotide long non-coding RNA is filed under the name Macaca mulatta (Rhesus monkey). RNAcentral describes it as "lncRNA (ENSMMUG00000055377.1)". Lineage: Eukaryota; Metazoa; Chordata; Mammalia; Primates; Cercopithecidae. The record is from RNAcentral.
GGCUUUCCUGAUGGCUUCUGGGGGUUCUUGUCGGUUUGUUUCCUUCUGGCUCACGCUGUGUCUUGCCCCCUGGACGCUGAGCACCAGUUCCGACUGCUGGGUCCACCCUGGAACGUGCUGGAGAGGGCGCCACGCUCAGGGUGGAGGCUGUUCCUGAGUGCUGCAAGUCAGAAGCGCCCUUGGCGCCUGUAGAGCUGUGUGGGCUGCUGGAGACCCCAAGCGGGCCGCCUCAGGAACGUGUCCUUGGUGUCAGCGGGAGCAGCAGGCCACCUCCUGGGGCUGACACUGGCCGAGGUCUGCAUUUCUGAGGGCGGGGCGUGCUUUGACAUCCUGAAAGGGUUGCAAAACCCAUCACAGAGAACCCCAAGAAGGGAGACUCUGCCCCCAAGACCCAGUGUGCCCCGCAGGGUCUGUGCUGUGUGCUCGCUGGCUCUUCAUGGAAGCCUUUCCCAGCCCGGGUCGGGGACCCCUGGUCCAACAUCCCCAGGAGCCGGCGGGAAGCCCGUUCUGGUCACCACAGCCCCUUUUGCAUGGCAUGAGUGCCCCAUGCCAGCCUGCAUGGCAUGUGCCUCCCACUUCCAAUGCCCUCCUCCCAGGGGCUCAUUCCUGCCCCAAGUGGGGUGACCUCUCUCUGCAGACAGGGGAGGCCUGUCCUCCCGGCAUGCAGCCCUGAAAGGAGAGGGGCCGGGGCAGGGAGGGGGUGUGCCGCGCCAUCGUGGUGAAGGCAGAGCAGCUCCUUUGUUCCGUGAUGUGUCAGGUUGCCGGAUACUGGGCUCCAGGCUCCAGGGGCAGUCCCUGGCCUGGGGGGUGGGAUGUGGAGUGCCAGGUGGGUCCCGGAAGGAGCUUUCCACUGGGGCCCCAGGAGGUUGCCCCAUCCUUCCCACUGGGACUGGCAGGUGACUUCCUGAUGACGCUCUCCGUGGCUCUGAAUUUGUCACAGAGGUUCCGUGGGCGAUGAGUGCUUUUCCUGUUGGCCGGUGCCGCCUCUGGGCAAUGCAGGGACCCUUGAUGACAGCUCCUGACCCCUUCCAAAGCCGCCUGGCCCUCCUUGAACCCGACGAGAGCAGGUUGCCGGGCCUUCCCUGAGGAAUGUGUUCCUGGCAGGUGGGGACAGCCCCUCCCCCAGGGUGUUGGGUACAGGAUCCUGGGGUGCCUCAGGACACGGUCAGGCCCACUGAACCCCCACACUCCUGGGCCACCUGCCCGCUGGCUGUCCUCUGUGACCCUGUCUCCCCUGAGCCAAGGUGCCCGGCCUGGUCCCCCGGGAAGAACAGUGAGGAGGUCUGGCUCUCCCUGCCAUGGGGGCCUCGGGGGCCUGGACGGGGACGGUGUCCUCCCUCCCCAGGCUGCCCAGCGCCCUCGCUCAGGGAGUGCUCUCCUAGCGGCCUGUUCGGCAGACGGGCACAGUCACGACAGCAGCCAGACCCUGUCCCGGCCCAUGCACCCACCUGGACAGAUCGGCGCCCUCCUAGACUUACUGGCUCCAUUGAGGGUCCCAAAGGGGCUGCCCCAGAGCACCCUGGGGUCUCCAGACCCCUCGGCCCACAGCAGCUACCAGCAGCCCAGGCAGGACCCAGGGGCUUCCGGGCACAGAGGCGCCGCUCCCUGGCUUGUGAGCCUGGGGCCUCUCCAGCCGUCCCCUGUCGGGGGGGCCUCCACUCCUGCUCUGGAUCAAGGUCCUGCCCUCAGGGAGAGCUGGUGCCUUCGGGGGACCGGGCCCUGGUUGCAGUUGGAGAGUGCAUCCAGGGAUGGUGCUCUUCUUGGCUGCCGCCCUGCCUCCCAGGGGCCUCCCCAGACACCCGGCUGCUGUCAGCUGGGGCUGGGGGGUCCUCUGGCCUAGGGGUCAUCCCAGUUUGGGAGUGCCCUUCCCUGGACACUGUGUCCAAGAAGGAUACAUGCUCGCCCUUUGUUGGGGGCCAGGCACAGGGUGAGGGGACACUCGGCCCCACCACCCCUGUCUCCGGGAGCCCUGGCUGGGUACGGUGCCUCUUCUGAGAGAUCCUGCCCGGGACUGGUGCCGCCUGCCUCCCGCACAGUUGGGGACCCUGGCCGGGCACCUCCUGCCAGCCCCCUGCUUCUGUCCUAGCCUCAGCCGGGCCCUGCAAGCUGUCCAUGUGCCUGUGACACCCGGUCCCUCUGCGGAUGUUUGCAAACACCCCUGCCCCCACAGUGAUGUCUGGGGGCCUCUCUGGGCCUUUGUGUGCCGAGUUGAGGGUGGGUGGUGGUGGGGGGGUCUUUCCAUAGUUGCCUACUUCCUGUCCUCCUCGGCCCCAGGUCCAGGGGUGCCCUGCCUGCUCAGUUUCCAGCCUGAGCCCUUCCUUGAGCUGGCCCAGUCCCCUAAGCUUCUGCAGCAGGUUCCCAGAUCCACCCGAGGGACUCCUGGCCAGUGUUCCCAGUGGUGUCUGAGUGCUAGACUCAGUCCCUGGCCAUAGAUUUCGGGGAACCCCGCUCUGAGGGGCCAUUGCUUCUGUUUCCUCUCCAGGUCCCCUCCCAGUUGCCUCGGAGAGCGAGGAUGGGGCUGUCGGGAGGCAGAAGGGAGGGUUGGGGUGCAGAGGUGUGGCUUAGGGGAGGGAAAGUCAACUGGGCUACCGCCCCUCCCUGCCCUCCCUGGACUCAGUCCAGACAUAACCUGCGGGUUGGAGGCCUGUGCACCCUUUAUCUCCUAGUAGCCUGGCAGGUCCUCCUGGGUCUUCCUCAGUGUGGCUGGGUCCCCAGACCAUAGGCCCCAGCAGGGUAGGGGCCCGUGCUCUGCUCUUGUUUUUGCUCCUACUUGCCCGCCCUUCCCGGGGAGGCCGCUGGCCACGACCAUGCCAAUCUCUUUCCCUGCUGCCUGCCUGCCUGGGUGGCCUCCAGCUCACCGCCCUGUGAGGCCUGUGGCCUCCCGCCAGGGCUGUCCUCAGGGGCCUGGAUCCCCCUAGUUUAUCUACCGCCCUUGCUGCCCCACAUGUGUCCCUGCAGCCUGGGGAUGAUCCGGAGGGUUGGGGGAUCGGUGCCCUUGGUUCACCCAGCCCAGCCCUAGGGCGGUUACCCCGGUGGCCCUGCCAGGCAUGGGGCUUGGGAGAGGAUACGAUGGAGCCGGCACAGGGAGGGGGCAGGAGACUCUGGGUGACUCGGGGCAGGAGGGGGUGCCCCAGAGGUUCAGAAUCCUGGGCACACAGUGGGCUGAGCGGACAAGUCGCAGCCUCAGGGGGACCUCCCGUCCUCCCCACUGGCACUGGAUCUUUCUGGGCCUGGCUCUGCUGCCUCCCACCCCCAUUCAGCUGGUGGCUUCUAGAUGCUUCCAGAGUGUGCUUGGCCCCUUUGCCUCUAUGCCAUUGGGCC